AGCAUAUCAUAGCGGGGGAAAAAAACAACGGGAUGCCUCAGUAACGGCGAGUGAAGCGGCAAGAGCUCAAAUUUGAAAUCUGGCCCUUUCAGGGUCCGAGUUGUAAUUUGCAGAGGAUGCUUCGGGUGCGGUCCCCAUCUAAGUGCCCUGGAACGGGCCGUCAUAGAGGGUGAGAAUCCCGUCUGGGAUGGGCGGCCGUGCCCGUGUGAAGCUCCUUCGACGAGUCGAGUUGUUUGGGAAUGCAGCUCUAAGUGGGUGGUAAAUUUCAUCUAAAGCUAAAUACUGGCCGGAGACCGAUAGCGCACAAGUAGAGUGAUCGAAAGAUGAAAAGCACUUUGAAAAGAGAGUUAAACAGCACGUGAAAUUGUUGAAAGGGAAGCGUUGUCCACCAGACUCGCCCGGGGGGGUUCAGCCGGUACGUGUGCCGGUGUACUCCUCUCCGGGCGGGCCAGCAUCGGUUUGGGCGGCUGGUGAAAGGCCCCGGGAAUGUAGCACCCUUCGGGGUGCCUUAUAGCCCGGGGUGCCAUACAGCCAGCCUGGACCGAGGCCCGCGCUUCGGCGAGGAUGCUGGCGUAAUGGUGGUCAACGGCCCGUCUUGAAACACGGACCAAGGAGUCUAACAUCUAUGCGAGUGUUCGGGUGUCAAACCCGUCCGCGCAGUGAAAGCGAACGGAGGUGGGAGCCUUUCGGGGCGCACCAUCGACCGAUCCUGAAGUCUUCGGAUGGAUUUGAGUAAGAGCAUAGCUGUUGGGACCCGAAAGAUGGUGAACUAUGCCUGAAUAGGGCGAAGCCAGAGGAAACUCUGGUGGAGGCUCGCAGCGGUUCUGACGUGCAAAUCGAUCGUCAAAUUUGGGUAUAGGGGCGAAAGACUAAUCGAACCAUCUGGUAGCUGGCUCUGCGA
This 901-nucleotide ribosomal RNA is filed under the name Talaromyces funiculosus. Its description in RNAcentral is "LSU rRNA". It matches the Rfam family "Eukaryotic large subunit ribosomal RNA", at positions 37 to 964 of the family's 3401-position model. Lineage: Eukaryota; Fungi; Ascomycota; Eurotiomycetes; Eurotiales; Trichocomaceae. The record is from RNAcentral.